AAGAAUCAAUAGAUUAUUUAGUGAUAAUGGUAGUAUCUUAUUCUCGUAAAGGGUUUGGACGAGACGGAUACGAUCGAAGACGUUCAGAAGGUCAAACGAUGUUACAAAGCGAAUAAGGAACGAAUCGAGUAAACGAAGCAGUGUGGCGAAUAGAGUAUAGCCAAAGAUGGUCUAGAGACUAUGAUAUGCAUAGAGUGUGAAAGUGGAAAGAUGAGAUUGAGAUAUGAGACUGGAAUCGGAUUUAAGAAAAGCUUAGAGUUGAAUUGAGAUUGCGAGUAUGGCUAAGGCUAAGCGAGGAGUCAGAGUUAUAGAAUAUCCAGAGGACAAGUGGAAUGUUCAGGGAGAUUGACAAGGUUGGUUCUAGAUAGAGUUGUAUUAUUGAGAUUCAGUUGUAAGUCAUAAUUGAGGUAGACUUGCAGUGAUUCUUCUCAUCGAAGAUGAUCUGAGUUUGUAAGAUAAUGUUUAUUAAUAGUGGUUGAUUCUAAUUUCAAUACUGUAACCUGGAUGCGAUCCUGUUUUUAGGGGGUUAAAGUGUUUUCUUUUAAAUCUUUUACUAAAGUUUUCAGGUUUUAAA
This is a long non-coding RNA of Daucus carota subsp. sativus, 574 nucleotides long. RefSeq lists it as uncharacterized. NCBI's taxonomy places the organism in Eukaryota, Viridiplantae, Streptophyta, Magnoliopsida, Apiales, Apiaceae. The transcript is spliced from 2 exons. The record is from RefSeq and is a predicted model, not a curated record.